RNAcentral lists this ribosomal RNA (469 nucleotides) under uncultured organism. RNAcentral's name for it is "partial 16S ribosomal RNA". It matches the Rfam family "Bacterial small subunit ribosomal RNA", at positions 333 to 798 of the family's 1533-position model. The record is from RNAcentral.
ACACUCCUACGGGAGGCAGCAGUGAGGAAUAUUGGGCAAUGGGUGGAAGCCUGAUCCAGCCAUCCCGCGUGCAGGAAGACGGCCCUAUGGGUUGUAAACUGCUUUUAUCUGGGGAUAAGCCUACUUACGUGUAAGUAGCUGAAGGUACCAGAAGAAUAAGCACCGGCUAACUCCGUGCCAGCAGCCGCGGUAAUACGGAGGGUGCAAGCGUUAUCCGGAUUUAUUGGGUUUAAAGGGUCCGUAGGCGGACUGAUAAGUCAGUGGUGAAAUCCGACAGCUUAACUGUCGAACUGCCAUUGAUACUGUUAGUCUUGAGUAAGGUAGAAGUGGCUGGAAUAAGUAGUGUAGCGGUGAAAUGCAUAGAUAUUACUUAGAACACCAAUUGCGAAGGCAGGUCACUAAGUCUGAACUGACGCUGAUGGACGAAAGCGUGGGGAGCGAACAGGAUUAGAAACCCUUGUAGUCCCAU